RNAcentral lists this ribosomal RNA (425 nucleotides) under uncultured bacterium. RNAcentral describes it as "partial 16S ribosomal RNA". It matches the Rfam family "Bacterial small subunit ribosomal RNA", at positions 354 to 796 of the family's 1533-position model. The record is from RNAcentral.
GUGGGGGAUAUUGCACAAUGGGGGAAACCCUGAUGCAGCGACGCCGCGUGAAGGAAGACGUACUUCGGUAUGUAAACUUCUAUCAGCAGGGAAGAAGAUGACGGUACCUGACUAAGAAGCCACGGCUAACUACGUGCCAGCAGCCGCGGUAAUACGUAGGGGGCAAGCGUUAUCCGGAUUUACUGGGUGUAAAGGGAGCGUAGACGGUGAAGCAAGUCUGAUGUGAAAACCCGGGGCUCAACUCCGGGAUUGCAUUGGAAACUGUUUUACUUGAGUGCUGGAGGGGCAAGCGGAAUGCCUGGUGUAGCGGUGAAAUGCGUAGGUAGCAGGAAGAACACCGGUGGCGAAGGCGGCUUACUUGACAGUAACUGACGUUGAGGCUCGAAAGCGUGGGGAGCAAACAGGAUUAGAAACCCGAGUAGUCC